AAUGUGACUGGCAGAACGCGUGUUGCAUGUGGAGGAUAAAUGCUGCAGUAGAUAUCUCAGAUAGGGGGAUUGAGGUUGCAAUAUUGGGAUGCACAACUAUUUGUAAGUGGAUUUAGGCUAUAUUUAUAAACCAUGAACGUUAUCAAACUAUACUGUUCUUCAAUUUUGGGUAAAGACCACCACCUAGUGUAAUUUUGAUAAAACAGUUUAGGCUAUAGUAAUUAUCCGACAGUGACGGGUUUGGGGCGUUGCCUUUAUAUUACUGGGACCAAUCGGAGAUCUGGCAGAAACUUUGUAAACAAGUAUUGCACGUUGUGUGAAAAACAUUUUCUUUUAUCAUUACAAAGAGAUUUAUCGUUGGAAAAAACGCAGGACUUGAAGACUUCACUAAGGAGCAUCUGAGCGUCUCAGGAAUGGUCUUGGCUGGGCAUGGCUCAUCUCAGGUAAGACUUUAGCUACCAUGGUUUACUUUGUACAUGUGAGCUGCUGUUUUCACAUGGGAAGGCUACUGAAUUCCCCUCUUUGUUUUCAAUGAAGAAAUUCUACCACAGCAAGAAUACUGUAGAUUUUGCAUGUGUUGUACUGUAAGGAAGGAAUAGAAGACAUUCCCUGUCCCUGCAGAUUCCCUCUGGUGAUUUGAUUAGCAUUUGAGAA
Molecule: long non-coding RNA, 654 nt
Filed under: Salmo trutta (river trout)
Lineage: Eukaryota; Metazoa; Chordata; Actinopteri; Salmoniformes; Salmonidae
Description: lncRNA (ENSSTUG00000001447.1)
Source: RNAcentral